GGACGAACGCUGGCGGCGUGCCUAAUACAUGCAAGUUGAGCGCUGAAGGUUGGUACUUGUACCAACUGGAUGAGCAGCGAACGGGUGAGUAACGCGUGGGGAAUCUGCCUUUGAGCGGGGGACAACAUUUGGAAACGAAUGCUAUUACCGCAUAAAAACUUUAAAAACAAGUUUUAAGUUUGAAAGAUGCAAUUGCAUCCCUCAAAGAUGAUCCCGCGUUGUAUUAGCUAGUUGGUGAGGUAAAGGCUUACCAAGGCGAUGAUACAUAGCCGACCUGAGAGGGUGAUCGGCCACAUUGGGACUGAGACACGGCCCAAACUCCUACGGGAGGCAGCAGUAGGGAAUCUUCGGCAAUGGACGAAAGUCUGACCGAGCAACGCCGCGUGAGUGAAGAAGGUUUUCGGAUCGUAAAACUCUGUUGGUAGAGAAGAACGUUGGUGAGAGUGGAAAGCUCAUCAAGUGACGGUAACUACCCAGAAAGGGACGGCUAACUACGUG
RNAcentral lists this ribosomal RNA (498 nucleotides) under uncultured bacterium. RNAcentral describes it as "partial 16S ribosomal RNA". It matches the Rfam family "Bacterial small subunit ribosomal RNA", at positions 27 to 507 of the family's 1533-position model. The record is from RNAcentral.